This 1281-nucleotide long non-coding RNA is filed under the name Phascolarctos cinereus (koala). RNAcentral's name for it is "lncRNA (ENSPCIG00000025481.2)". Lineage: Eukaryota; Metazoa; Chordata; Mammalia; Diprotodontia; Phascolarctidae. The record is from RNAcentral.
UUACUUACUUUCUCAAUGCCUUGGGGAGGGGUUGGAGAGAGAGACAGAACUUGGAACUCAAAAUUUUUAAAAAUUAAAAUAUAUUUUUUUAAAAAAGAAAAGAAAAAAAGCACUUAAUGAAAGUAGCAGAGAAUUUAGGAGUCUCAGAUGCCUGAGAGAGGUGACAAAAAUAAAGACCUUGAUGUUCUUUCCAUCCUCCUUUCCCCAGUAUAGUCCCAAUGCCUACAUGAAUUUUUGUUGUGGAAGGUGGACCAGUUUUGACCCAGCCCUCCAACACGUUAAUGUGUAGAUGUAACUAGAGGUGGCAUGAGCUUCUUUUAACCACAAUCAUGAUUUCAAAUAAAUAGCCUGGAUACAUGAGGAAUGACACAUCUGGUGUCUCCUGAGGCCUUUCCUGGAGAAGCCAUGGGAGUAACUGUUCUAGGCUGUCUGCCUUGUUAUGCUGGGAAGUUGUAAGACUAUGGUUCAUACUCAAGCUUCCAUUGUGAUGGGGAUUUAGGGGGUGUCAUUCCAAAUAGUCAACUUUGGUCACUGACAUCAGCUCCCAUCUAUGUAAAAGUGGGUUUGUUCACUUUUUUUUUUGUUCUGUAUGUUGUUAUUGUUGUUGUUUUUCAACAGAAUACGCCUAGAUGUUCUAACUGCAACAGACUGGUAUGGUCCAAUUGCAUGGGAAGUCACUUACAAGAGAAAAUACCUAGACCAUCAUUGCAAAGAACAAAAUAUCACCAGGGGCUUGUGUUUGCCUUUGGAAGGUAUGGAUAUAAAACCUUGAAGAAAUUCAUCAGAUCUGCUGACAAAUAUUUUAUGUGUUUGGGAGCUCAUCUCAGGGAGUUCUAAACCUCACCCAGGAAUGCAGCAAGCGGAUGCUUCAGGACAAGGAGAAUGAAACAGAAGUUGGGGGGGCAUGAUGAAAGUCACCUAAGCAAGUAUUUCUUUUUAAACAAACCUACUAAAAUCUUAUUACCAGAAUACUGUUGGGACUGUUGUCUGGAAGACAAUUCACAUGCUAAAUUAAUCAAGAUGGGUUGGCAGUCAAAGAACAAUAAUAGGAUUAAAAAUAAUCCUUGAUCUGUGAUUGUCCAAUUAAAUUUGUGGAUUACAGAGCCUGUUCUUCAGACCAAUUCCUAAGGAAAGAAGCAAGUAAGAAUUUUUAAAAGUCAAAAACCUAACAAAAAAACUGUCUUCUUAAAUAGCACAUGCAUAUAUUCUUUUUGUUCUCUGAAAUAACAAACUUUCUAACUUGCAUGAUGUGGGAUAACAAAUAAAUCUAUGGUAACUGGG